CUCAGCCCCGACAGUCACUCAGAUAUAAGGCUCUUUCUGCCUGGGAAGUUCUCCCUGCUGCCUUUCCUCAUCCCAUUCCUGCACAUCCUUCAAGGCUCUGUUCAUGUUUCGCUCUUUCUGUGAACACAUCCCGCCUUCCCCGUGCCUGGGACUGCCAACCUGGAGAUGUCAUUCCUUCAUUUCUGCAGAGCAGCCCAGCCCUUCUUCCACUCCCAAGUGGUGGAACAGGAGCUCCCGCCCCAAGACACGUGCUGACCUCUGUGUCCAGUCCCGAUAUUCACCAGGUUAAUUAAUCGUGUUACUGAAGAAUUGAUUUGGCACAAGAGAGCUAUGCAUUUCCACAGUCCUCUGAAAGCAUGGAAAUUACUUCAUACAUAUGUAACCCCACUGGAAUUGCUUGACAGUUUUGAUUUACAAUGGAGAAAUCCAUCUCUCAUCAGCAGUGUGGGAAAAGAAAACAGGAAACCAAAAGGUUCAUUAAACUAAUGGAUCCAAGCAAGGGUCAUUCUACAACAAAGGAUUUUGUGGCAACUUCCAUCACAAACAAAAAAGAAAAAGGCUGCAGAGAAUUUCAGUCAUAACCCAGGUUUCCAUGAAUGUGGCUGCGGUUGCUGAUGGCCAUCUGGGUGGCCUCGGAUCCUCUGCGAUGUCACACGGUGCUGUCACAAGGAAGCCUCGCAGGAUCGGAGCCCACGCGGAGGAUCAACUCCAGG
Molecule: long non-coding RNA, 713 nt
Filed under: Heterocephalus glaber (naked mole-rat)
Lineage: Eukaryota; Metazoa; Chordata; Mammalia; Rodentia; Bathyergidae
Description: lncRNA (ENSHGLG00100032786.1)
Source: RNAcentral